Molecule: non-coding RNA, 71 nt
Organism: Potamilus streckersoni
Lineage: Eukaryota; Metazoa; Mollusca; Bivalvia; Unionida; Unionidae
Source: the annotation of a GenBank genome assembly
UCCAUGGCCUAGAGGUUAGAGCAUCUGCUUCAGAUGCAGGAGGUUGCAGGUUCAAAUCCCAGCCAGAUCAU